UACGUAGGGCGCAAGCGUUAUCCGGAAUUAUUGGGCGUAAAGAGCUCGUAGGCGGUUUGUUGCGUCGGCUGUGAAAUCCCGAGGCUCAACCUCGGGUCUGCAGUCGAUACGAGCAAACUAGAGUGUUGCAGGGGGAGACUGGAAUUCCUGGUGUAGCGGUGAAAUGCGCAGAUAUCGGGGAAGAACACCCCGUGGCGAAGGCGGGCUCUCUGGGACGGUACUGACGCUGAGACGCGAAAAGCGUGGGGGAGCGAAACAGG
This 260-nucleotide ribosomal RNA is filed under the name uncultured bacterium. Its description in RNAcentral is "partial 16S ribosomal RNA". It matches the Rfam family "Bacterial small subunit ribosomal RNA", at positions 524 to 776 of the family's 1533-position model. The record is from RNAcentral.